UGUAUGUUAACGCUAAGUCAGCCAUGGAUAGAGAGUCAAGAAGAGUAAUUUUAAAUGUUCAAGAGGUCUCAAGGCCCUUGUAAGCCUUUAAAUCUUCAUGCGUGUAUGGAGACUUGGAACAUAGCAGGUAAUUUACCAAAUCAAGAUUGGUUACCAGUGGCAUUUUUCCUGCGAUGCUAAGUCCAUUGCACCAAUACUCUUCGUGAAUUGUAAAGGGGCAAUCACAACCUACUAUUAAUAGUUUUGCUGCAUACUUACGUUUAUCUUCUGACAGCCCUACAGAAAAGAUUUUUUUAAAAAUACAAGAAAUGUGAUCUGGAAACAGAAAUUGUUAUACA
This 338-nucleotide long non-coding RNA is filed under the name Daphnia magna. Its description in RNAcentral is "uncharacterized LOC116923535". The record is from RNAcentral. Lineage: Eukaryota; Metazoa; Arthropoda; Branchiopoda; Diplostraca; Daphniidae.